AAAAAAAGAAAAAAAAAAAAAGAAAGAAACCAAACCAUUGGCGAAGGUUGGCAUUGAAUUCGAGCAUUAACUCAGUAUUCGCUAUGCAAUUUGACGUAACCGCCUAUUUGGAAAGUUGAUUGAUGAAAAUUGACUUGAUUAUCAAUUACUGCAUCAUGGCAGAGUCGGUCGCAUGCAACUUUAUAAACACUCCCGUAUAUGAAGCAAUAGCUUCCUGGAUAGAAACGGCCUCUCUACCGAUUGUUUUGUUGGGUAAGUGGCAAUUUUGCAAUCCU
Long non-coding RNA from Dendronephthya gigantea, 275 nucleotides. RefSeq lists it as uncharacterized. Lineage: Eukaryota; Metazoa; Cnidaria; Anthozoa; Malacalcyonacea; Nephtheidae. The transcript is spliced from 4 exons. The record is from RefSeq and is a predicted model, not a curated record.